AGUGAACGCUGGCGGUAGGCCUAACACAUGCAAGUCGAACGGCAGCACAGUAAGAGCUUGCUCUUACGGGUGGCGAGUGGCGGACGGGUGUGGAAUACAUCGGAAUCUACUUUUUCGUGGGGGAUAACGUAGGGAAACUUACGCUAAUACCGCAAACGACCUACGGGUGAAAGCAGGGGAUCUUCGGACCUUGCGCGAUUGAAUGAGUCGAUGUCGGAUUAGCUAGUUGGCGGGGUAAAGGCCCACCAAGGCGACGAUCCGUAGCUGGUCUGAGAUGAUGAUCAGCCACACUGGAAGUGAGACACGGUCCAGACUCCUACGGGAGGCAGCAGUGGAGAAUAUUGGACUGUGGGCGCAAGCCUGAUCCAGCCAUACCGCGUGGGUGAAGAAGGCCUUCGGGUUGUAAAGCCCUUUUGUUGGGAGAGAAGAGCAGCAGGUUAAUACCCCGCUGUUCUGACGGUACCCAAAGAAUAAGCACCGGCUAACUUCGU
Molecule: ribosomal RNA, 491 nt
Filed under: uncultured bacterium
Lineage: Bacteria
Description: partial 16S ribosomal RNA
Rfam family: Bacterial small subunit ribosomal RNA
Source: RNAcentral